This 555-nucleotide long non-coding RNA is filed under the name Linum usitatissimum (flax). RNAcentral's name for it is "long non-coding RNA (LUSI_LNC006958)". Lineage: Eukaryota; Viridiplantae; Streptophyta; Magnoliopsida; Malpighiales; Linaceae. The record is from RNAcentral.
AUCCGACAAUUAAUAAUGAAAAUACAGAUCUGACGGUUUGGGAGAAUAUAACCAAGAAUUCAAGUGGACCAAGAGAGAAAGUUAAUAAUUAAUAUUUUUAUCUCCACCCUUCGUCUUCUUCUUCCCCUCUGAGUCUCUCUUUCUUUCUUUUCCUUCUUUCUUUCUUCUUUCCCUCUGUCGUUCUGCUGAUUUCUUCCUCCCCUUUGCAUCUUCCCCAAAUAAACCUCAAAAAACCUCCAUCCCCAGCCCAACAACCCAAAUCCCAAACCGAAUCCAGACGCCUGAGAUGACAUACAUGCACAGAUGAAUUCUGGGAGAUGAAUUCCGGCACCGCCGAUAUACCUGAUAUGACAUCGAAUACCAGUUCACCAGUUUUCCCCAAUAAAACCUCCAGUAAAACAGAGCUGCCAUCAGAUUACCAGUUUCUCCUUCUUAAACAUCUAAUUACAAAAGCUAGGAAAUACCGUGGAUGUAGCUUAGUUUCAGGCAGAAGCAACCGAUCGCUGAGUUAAACUCGGGCCGAAGACAACCAUUAUGAAGGCGGCUAAAACCGGG